Molecule: ribosomal RNA, 92 nt
Filed under: Sus scrofa (pig)
Lineage: Eukaryota; Metazoa; Chordata; Mammalia; Artiodactyla; Suidae
Source: RNAcentral
AUACCACCCUCUACGCACUGCAGGAUCACGGAAGCUAAGCAGGGUCGGGCCUGGUUAGUACUUGGAUGGGAGCCUCUAGCCGCAGGCAGGAC